UACAGAGGGUGCGAGCGUUGUCCGGAAUCACUGGGCGUAAAGGGCGCGUAGGCGGCUUUUCAAGCGUGCGGUGAAAGCUCGGGGCUUAACUCCGAGUCUGCCGUGCGAACUGGGAGGCUUGAGUCUGGUAGAGGUCGAUGGAAUUCCGGGUGUAGCGGUGGAAUGCGUAGAGAUCCGGAAGAACACCGGUGGCGAAGGCGGCAUCCUGGACCGGCAUUGACGCUGAGGCGCGAAAGCCAGGGGAGCAAACGGG
RNAcentral lists this ribosomal RNA (253 nucleotides) under uncultured bacterium. RNAcentral's name for it is "partial 16S ribosomal RNA". It matches the Rfam family "Bacterial small subunit ribosomal RNA", at positions 524 to 776 of the family's 1533-position model. The record is from RNAcentral.